AGUCUCCAGCGCCUAGUCGUUGGGUAUACGGCGCGAUGUACAGAGCCGCGACACGCGACACGCAACCAGCAGUAACAGUAGCAGCAGCAGCACCAGCAGCAGUAGCAUUAGUAGCAGCAAAAGUUGUGCCAGCAACAACAGCAACACUUGCAACAGCAGCAGCAACAGCAGCCGGAAGACCAAACGACCAUUGAGCCGCCCUUUUAAGCCGUUGUUCGCGACGCGAAAAGAAAAAAUUUUAAAUCUAACAAAAUCAAAAAUGAAAUAAAGUAAAAAAAAAUCUCUAAAUUCUAACUUCAACUUAAACAGAAGUAAUCCUUUGACCUCCCAGCAUACCUUUUUGAGGCGGAAAAACGACACGAAUACACGGAAUCACAGCCCUAAUACCGCGCCAAAUGAGCUGGAAAUGUCCAAGUGGCCGGUGGCGAUGGUGGAUGGGCCAUCAAGGAAGCAACAACGGUGGCAAAUAAGCCAAAUUAACGAGAUCCCGGCCAAGAGUAGGCACAUCCCAUGCUCAUCCGAUCCGAGGAACAAUGCCCUGAAAGAAAGCCAUUCAAAUCGCCCAAGUAAUCGGCAAAUAAUCGAAUAGUCGCUCCGUUUCGUCGUUAUUCGGUUUUUCGUGUGUGCUUUCCUUUCGGUUUCGGUUUCGCGAGUGCUACCACUUCCGUUUCCGCCUUUGUCUAUUCGUGUCUGUGCGUGUCGUCUGUGCCGUUUGUCUUUGUCGCCUGGGUCUGGGCAGUUUCUCCAGAUAUAUCUAUCUUUAUUUUUUUUUUUUUGCUUUUUUUUCUUCCUCCAACUAUUCAAAGAUCGUAAGCGAGCGAUACUUAUUUUGGAAAACAAACUAAUAAGAAUCGCAAAAUUAUGCGAAUUAAGUCGGAU
This is a long non-coding RNA of Drosophila eugracilis, 879 nucleotides long. RefSeq lists it as uncharacterized. Lineage: Eukaryota; Metazoa; Arthropoda; Insecta; Diptera; Drosophilidae. The transcript has 3 exons. The record is from RefSeq and is a predicted model, not a curated record.